CACAAAUUUCCCUCUCACAAUCCCCCCUGUGAAUCUAUAAUUGUAUAUAAUUUGAGACUUGUAUAUUGCAAGAUUUGUCAUCCUUUCCUUCCUUCCUUCCUUCCUUCCUUCCUUCCUUCCUUCCUUCCUUCCUCCCUUCCUCCCUUUCUCCCAUCUUCCUUCCUUCCUUCCUCCCUUUCUCCCAUCUUCCUUCCUUCCUUCCUCCCUUCUCCCAUCUUCCUUCCUUCCUUCCUUCCUUCCUUCCUUCCUUCCUUCCUUCCUUCCUUCCUUCCUUCCUUCCUUCCUUCCUUCCUUCCUUCCUUCCUUUCUUUCUUUCUUUCUUUCUUUCUUUCUUUCUUUCUUUCUUUCUUUCUUUCUUUCUUUCUUUCUUUCUUUCUUUCUUUCUUUCUUUCUUUCUUUCUUUCUUUCUUUCUUUCUUUCUUUCUUUCUUUCUUUCUUUCUUUCUUUCUUUCUUUCUUUCUCUUCCCUUCUCUCUCCCUCCCUUCCAC
This 488-nucleotide long non-coding RNA is filed under the name Monodelphis domestica (gray short-tailed opossum). Its description in RNAcentral is "lncRNA (ENSMODG00000029339.2)". The record is from RNAcentral. Lineage: Eukaryota; Metazoa; Chordata; Mammalia; Didelphimorphia; Didelphidae.